CUUACACACAUAUCAGGACAUCCCCUACACACUCCAUCCCCUGUGAACAAACUCAUUGGUGGAACAUGAAGGUGGACCCUGGGACCCAGACCUUGAGCUGUGUAAAGGGCCCCCAAAAAAUGGUGCUGCUUCCCGUUCUCCCAGAACAUUGAUUUUUGUGACCACAGUUACAAACAGCCUCCAGAGAGCCUGUUCUACAUCAGACCAGUGGAGCCAGACUGCAGCUAGAGCCCAUCAUCAUCCUCAUC
This is a non-coding RNA of Pelobates cultripes (western spadefoot toad), 248 nucleotides long. The record is from the annotation of a GenBank genome assembly. NCBI's taxonomy places the organism in Eukaryota, Metazoa, Chordata, Amphibia, Anura, Pelobatidae.